This 497-nucleotide ribosomal RNA is filed under the name uncultured bacterium. Its description in RNAcentral is "partial 16S ribosomal RNA". It matches the Rfam family "Bacterial small subunit ribosomal RNA", at positions 28 to 507 of the family's 1533-position model. The record is from RNAcentral.
GAUGAACGCUGGCGGCGUGCCUAAUACAUGCAAGUCGAGCGAACAGAUGAGGAGCUUGCUCCUCUGACGUUAGCGGCGGACGGGUGAGUAACACGUGGAUAACCUACCUAUAAGACUGGGAUAACUACGGGAAACCGAAGCUAAUACCGGAUAAUAUAUUGAACCGCAUGGUUCAAUAGUGAAAGACGGUUUUGCUGUCACUUAUAGAUGGAUCCGCGCCGCAUUAGCUAGUUGGUAAGGUAACGGCUUACCAAGGCAACGAUGCGUAGCCGACCUGAGAGGGUGAUCGGCCACACUGGAACUGAGACACGGUCCAGACUCCUACGGGAGGCAGCAGUAGGGAAUCUUCCGCAAUGGGCGAAAGCCUGACGGAGCAACGCCGCGUGAGUGAUGAAGGUCUUCGGAUCGUAAAACUCUGUUAUUAGGGAAGAACAAAUGUGUAAGUAACUAUGCACGUCUUGACGGUACCUAAUCAGAAAGCCACGGCUAACUACGUG